Cinara cedri is the source of this 986-nucleotide non-coding RNA. NCBI's taxonomy places the organism in Eukaryota, Metazoa, Arthropoda, Insecta, Hemiptera, Aphididae. The record is from the annotation of a GenBank genome assembly.
CUUCCGUGACCGGGUAUUACGUUAUUGCGUACGGACGUACCUGUAAUGUGUUCGUGUCCAAUAUGAUCCGCGUCGGAACGGCGGCGGCGACUGCGACGCGAUGCAAAAAACGACCAUUGCGUAACUGCGAACGACGUUGUUUUUUUUUUAAUUCUACUACCGUCUUCGGCGGUAUAUACUCAACGGUAUUGUCUUUUUUUUUUUUUUUUUUUUUUGUUUUUCUUCGCGUAACGCUAUAAUAAUAAUUUUUAUCGCCACCUACCUAAGCGUUAUACCUAUAGACGCACGCGUCGCACGUUCAUCUGGAUUAGGUUGAGUCACCCGUUUUACCCGCAGAGACGACGACUUCUGCGUGGCUACCGCAACGAAACCGCCGUUCCUACUUACGCGUUUUUUCCUUUUUUUUUUUUUUCACCGCGUUCGCAGGUUUCCGUGCUUUGCGAUUUCGCGUUUCGGCAUUAGUGUACAAACGCUUUACCCUGAAUUUUCGCGAAAACGUACCUACGCUGUGCACAUAUUGUCCGGUGUAAUAUUAUAUUAUAACCGACAAAACGGUCCGUCCGAAUGCCGUCAAAUCGCAGUGCGGCCGGGUCGGACUCUCGCGGACCGAUCAAACGUUUCCGGGGAAAUACGGACCCGGGCACUUAAUACUUUCUCGCGUAGACUUCACGCACGGACGACCGACACAAAGUCCCCGGCUUUGCACGAACCCCGUUCUCGCUCUCUUUCUCACUCCCUCUCACUCUUCAAAAAGACCUUUCGUAAAGGUCGCAGCCGUGUUCGGCACGUCGACCUUUAAGUACACAACGGACGACGUUCCGUAAAUCAUAAUAUUAUCAUAUUAACACUUAUCGUGAAUUGAAAAAAACAAAAAAAUAAAUAAAUCAAAUACCAGACAAUUUCCUUUAUAUAAUCUCGUGUAUAUUUAUUUUUCAAAUAUUGUUUUUUUCAUGGUUUUUUUUUUUUUUUUUUUUUUUUUUUUUUUA